AACGAACGCUGGCGGCAGGCUUAACACAUGCAAGUCGAACGCAUCCUUCGGGGUGAGUGGCAGACGGGUGAGUAACGCGUGGGAAUCUACCCUGAUCUGCGGGAUAGCUCCGGGAAACUGGAAUUAAUACCGCAUAUGUCCUGAGGGACAAAGAUUCAUCGGUUCAGUGUGAGCCCGCGUCCGAUUAGCUAGUUGGUGGGGUAAAGGCCUACCAAGGCGACGGUCGGUAGCUGGUCUAAGAUGAUGAGCAGCCACAUUGGGACUGAGACACGGCCCAAAGUCCUACGGGGGGAAGCGGUGGGGAAUAUGGGACAAUGGGCGCAAGCCUGAUCCAGCCAUGCCGCAGGAGUGAUGAAGGCCUUCGGGUUGUAAAGCUCUUUCGCACACGACGAUGAUGACGGUAGUGUGAGAAGAAGCCCCGGCUAACUUCGUGCCAGCCGCCGCCGUAA
This 449-nucleotide ribosomal RNA is filed under the name uncultured bacterium. RNAcentral's name for it is "partial 16S ribosomal RNA". It matches the Rfam family "Bacterial small subunit ribosomal RNA", at positions 29 to 523 of the family's 1533-position model. The record is from RNAcentral.